This is a non-coding RNA of Pelobates cultripes (western spadefoot toad), 234 nucleotides long. The record is from the annotation of a GenBank genome assembly. Lineage: Eukaryota; Metazoa; Chordata; Amphibia; Anura; Pelobatidae.
CCCAUACUCGUCUUUAGACUUAGAAUUAUGGUAGUUGUAGUGCAACACCACCGGGGAACAACGGCAGGACACAUGGGCUAUCCACGAACUCUCAAAAGAAGAAUUGGGAUCCUCUCCCAUACCUUACGGGAAUUAAACUUCCUGUGCAAAUAUUCCUUUUGGUAUUAUGGCAGACUGCCUCAUUAUAAUGUGAAUGGCUAAUAUUUUGUAAAGUGACUUUAUAAUGAUUUGGAG